Molecule: small nucleolar RNA, 107 nt
Organism: Salvia splendens (bonfire salvia)
Lineage: Eukaryota; Viridiplantae; Streptophyta; Magnoliopsida; Lamiales; Lamiaceae
Source: RefSeq, a predicted model, not a curated record
AGUCCGUGACUUGGACAUUUCCUUAUCAACUCUGUGAAUCUCUUCCAUGCUUCCGCGAAGGACUCGUCAUACUUCUGGCGGAAUGAAGUGAUUUCCUCUCUCAAUUU